GUGGGUGUAGCUCAGUGGUAGAGUAUGUGCUUAGCAUGCAUGAGGUCCUGGGUUCAAUCCCCAGUACUUCCA
This 72-nucleotide transfer RNA is filed under the name Camelus bactrianus (Bactrian camel). It matches the Rfam family "tRNA". From Rfam's summary of the family: Transfer RNA (tRNA) molecules are approximately 80 nucleotides in length. Their secondary structure includes four short double-helical elements and three loops (D, anti-codon, and T loops). The record is from Rfam by way of RNAcentral. RNAcentral also lists the same sequence under 1 other name. Lineage: Eukaryota; Metazoa; Chordata; Mammalia; Artiodactyla; Camelidae.